UAGAAGUAGAGGUUGCGCUGAUUAAAAGUAUUCUGCCGGAUGCUGCAGGAGCGUGGGAAGGCAGAAAAAAGGAAAAAGCGCCGAAGGAAGAUAUUUUCUGCGGAUAUGUUCCUGGGCAUAUGGUGAACAAUCAUAUGACUGUCAUCCAAAGGGAUGGAGAGCUACUGA
This 168-nucleotide non-coding RNA is filed under the name uncultured Lachnoclostridium sp. Its description in RNAcentral is "Lysine riboswitch". It matches the Rfam family "Lysine riboswitch aptamer". From Rfam's summary of the family: Riboswitches are metabolite binding domains within certain messenger RNAs that serve as precision sensors for their corresponding targets. Allosteric rearrangement of mRNA structure is mediated by ligand binding, and this results in modulation of gene expression. Lineage: Bacteria; Bacillati; Bacillota; Clostridia; Lachnospirales; Lachnospiraceae. The record is from RNAcentral.